Molecule: ribosomal RNA, 663 nt
Filed under: Triticum aestivum (bread wheat)
Lineage: Eukaryota; Viridiplantae; Streptophyta; Magnoliopsida; Poales; Poaceae
Description: partial small subunit ribosomal RNA
Source: RNAcentral
AUGGACUUCGAUACGCUGAACUCUCACCCGGAGGCGCAGCUGGAGCUGAUGAACGCAAUGCUGCAGCUAGAGCAGCUCACCGCGCUCCCUGACCACGCCAUGCCGGUGACCCCUUCUCCAUGCACGCAAGCCCCUCGUCACCAGUUCUCCUCGGCGCCUCACACGGCGAGCGCCAACGCCGGCGGGGCCUACCACGACCCGUAUUCCCAGCUGCUGAACUCCGCCCCCUACAACGGCAGCCACCGUCGCUCCGAGUACACGGCGACGUCGCAGCCUCCACCCGAUGGCGCUGGCGCCACGGGGCCGGCGGCCAUGCGGGAGAUGAUCUUCCGCAUCGCGGCGCUGCAGCCGGUGAACAUCGACCCGGACACGGUGCGCCCGCCGAAGCGCCGCAACGUGCGCAUCUCGACGGACCCGCAGAGCGUGGCGGCGAGGAUGCGGCGGGAGCGCAUCAGCGAGCGCAUCCGCAUCCUGCAGCGCCUCGUCCCGGGCGGGACCAAGAUGGACACCGCGUCCAUGCUGGACGAGGCCAUCCACUACGUCAAGUUCCUCAAGACGCAGGUGCAGUCCCUGGAGCGCGCGGCGGCGGCCAACGGCCACCGCGCGCCGCCCAACGGCGCAGCCGCCGCCGAGGCCUACCAGGGCCUGAACGGGCCGUGGUAA